RNAcentral lists this transfer RNA (71 nucleotides) under Marmota monax (woodchuck). RNAcentral's name for it is "tRNA.Ala". Lineage: Eukaryota; Metazoa; Chordata; Mammalia; Rodentia; Sciuridae. The record is from RNAcentral.
GGGGCUGUAGUUCAGUGUUAGAGCAUUCGCCUGGCAUGUGUGAGGCACUGAUUUCAAUCCUCAGCACCACA